Molecule: non-coding RNA, 148 nt
Filed under: Homo sapiens (human)
Lineage: Eukaryota; Metazoa; Chordata; Mammalia; Primates; Hominidae
Source: Rfam by way of RNAcentral
GCUGGGUGUGGUGGUGUGCGCCUGUAAUCCCAGCUACUUGGGAGGCUGAGGCAGGAGAAUUGCUUGAACCCAGGAGGCAGAGGUUGCAGUGAGCUGAGAUCAUGCCACUGCACUCCAGCCUGGGCCACAGAGCAAGACUUUGUCUCAA